GACGUAGGGCGCGAGCGUUGUCCGGAAUUAUUGGGCGUAAAGCGCGUGUAGGCGGCUCGGUAAGUCUGCUGUGAAAGUCCAAGGCUCAACCUUGGAAAGCCGGUGGAUACUGUCGAGCUCGAGUCCGGAAGAGGCGAGUGGAAUUCCUGGUGUAGCGGUGAAAUGCGCAGAUAUCAGGAGGAACACCAAUGGCGAAGGCAGCUCGCUGGGACGGUACUGACGCUGAGACGCGAAAGCGUGGGGAGCAAACAGG
This 253-nucleotide ribosomal RNA is filed under the name uncultured bacterium. RNAcentral describes it as "partial 16S ribosomal RNA". It matches the Rfam family "Bacterial small subunit ribosomal RNA", at positions 524 to 776 of the family's 1533-position model. The record is from RNAcentral.